Molecule: long non-coding RNA, 622 nt
Organism: Cervus elaphus (red deer)
Lineage: Eukaryota; Metazoa; Chordata; Mammalia; Artiodactyla; Cervidae
Exons: 2
Source: RefSeq, a predicted model, not a curated record
AUUUGGGGGUACCGUUUUAGUCUCGUGGGGGAAGGUAGAAUGGUUGUGUGCGAAUCAGUUCAGGAGUUCCUCAGAAAAGAGGGCUUAGUACUCCUAAGUCGUAAAGUAAAAGCAGAAAAAGCAUCUGUGCCCAGCCCGCUUCCAGCUCGUAGCGCGGUCUGCACGCAGUGACUUAAUGGCUGUGACUUGCUGUAGAGAAGCCGGCUGGGAAACCAAAAUUCAGAUGACCUAACCUGCCCAGAUCUCUUAAUUACAAAGCUUGGAAAUGGUCGACUCAGCAAAGAAUGUGGUCUUUGAUAUGGAAAGCCUUCACCUAAGGGAAUCUCUCAAUCUCUCUGGGACUCUGAAGCAAGGACAAUUAUUUUGAGAUCUCAUGUUCUUUACGUUCGUUCAUUCAACAAAUACUCAUUGAGGACUCAUAUAUAUCAAGCGUAAAUAUUUUAUUGUUUCUGCGUAUGUCUUACUUUCUAGACUUUAAGAUUCUUAUGAAGUAAUAGGUGUAAAACUAUCAUCAUACUUGGUGCAUGGUACAUGAUCAAUAAAAUUGGUUGUUCUUCUCCCUCACUUGCUCUAAGGGGAGGAAUUUUAUCUUAAUAAAACCUUGUUUUCCACAUGUUCCAUA